AGCUGGUGAGUGCAGUGGAAGUUACAAUUAACUGAUUACAAUCAGUUCCAAAUGUCUUUGUUCAUUCCCCACUCCCUCUGCUUCACUUGACUAGUUAAAA
This 100-nucleotide Y RNA is filed under the name Choloepus hoffmanni (Hoffmann's two-fingered sloth). RNAcentral describes it as "Y RNA (ENSCHOG00000014116.1)". It matches the Rfam family "Y RNA". From Rfam's summary of the family: Y RNAs are components of the Ro ribonucleoprotein particle (Ro RNP), in association with Ro60 and La proteins. The Y RNAs and Ro60 and La proteins are well conserved, but the function of the Ro RNP is not known. In humans the RNA component can be one of four small RNAs -- hY1, hY3, hY4 and hY5. The record is from RNAcentral. Lineage: Eukaryota; Metazoa; Chordata; Mammalia; Pilosa; Megalonychidae.